GAGUUUGAUCCUGGCUCAGAUUGAACGCUGGCGGCAUGCCUUACACAUGCAAGUCGAACGGCAGCAUGAUCUAGCUUGCUAGAUUGAUGGCGAGUGGCGAACGGGUGAGUAAUACAUCGGAACGUGCCCUGUAGUGGGGGAUAACUAGUCGAAAGAUUAGCUAAUACCGCAUACGACCUGAGGGUGAAAGUGGGGGACCGCAAGGCCUCAUGCUAUAGGAGCGGCCGAUGUCUGAUUAGCUAGUUGGUGGGGUAAAGGCCCACCAAGGCGACGAUCAGUAGCUGGUCUGAGAGGACGAUCAGCCACACUGGGACUGAGACCGA
Molecule: ribosomal RNA, 323 nt
Filed under: uncultured microorganism
Description: bacterial SSU rRNA
Rfam family: Bacterial small subunit ribosomal RNA
Source: RNAcentral